AAGAUACCUACGUUUGCAGAAUUUGCUACGUAUGUUGCUGAUCAUUUAGAUUUUCUCCACAACUCUACAGUAUAUCAGAGUAGAAGAUUUUCUGAACGGGUUAGAAAAGUGAACUUUCAUUGGAGACCUGUAUAUCUCAACUGUAGGCCUUGUUCACAGCAGUAUGACGCAAUCUUUAAACUGGAAACAAUGAAUGAAGACACUUUUUAUUUAAAAAAGAAAUGUAAUAUAAACCUAGAUGUUCGCUUACACAGUAGAAUGGGAACUGAUGGGCGUACAUCACAAAACAGUGCAAUUCAAGCUUAUACAACAGUAGAUAAGAGGGUGAAAGAGAAACUCUACGCCAUUUUUGAACCAGAUUUCAAAUUAUUUGGAUACAGUAUUCAACAGUAUUUUAGUUAAAAGUAGUUGCUUUUUUUAAAAGUAGUUUCUAAAAAAAAAUUACAAUUUAUACGACCAGAAUAAACAUAUUUUAACAGGCAAACCAAUGCUUCCGGAAGUAGUAAAUCCAAGCUAAUGUAAAGUACAGGAAGUAGUAAAUCCAAGCUAAUGUAAAGUACAGGAAGUAGUAAAUCCAAGCUAAUGUAAAGUACAGGAAGUAGUAAAUCCAAGCUAA
Long non-coding RNA from Eurytemora carolleeae, 616 nucleotides. RefSeq lists it as uncharacterized. The transcript has 5 exons. The record is from RefSeq and is a predicted model, not a curated record. NCBI's taxonomy places the organism in Eukaryota, Metazoa, Arthropoda, Copepoda, Calanoida, Temoridae.